AAGUCCUGUUGGUGGUUGCUAUGGCCAGUCUGACCUCAAUCUCCGUGGUUUUGGGGACUUAGCAGUCUUUUUUUCUUAUUGAGGAGCAUGUACCUUGAUUUAUGUCCAAAAUCGUGGCUGAACGUCUUUGUCUGCAAGUGAUAAAUGGUGCCGAGCAAUUCAUCAGUUCUUACAAGUAAACACUGCUGUCCCACUAAAAAUAUGUUUUGUUCUGAGUUAAUGGUAUGGAACAAGGCAGCCUCCACAAACAGCUAUCUUUUAUUGUGGAGGGGCCACUGAAACUUGGAGCAAAGUGGAGGAGAUUGGCAUUCAUUUUCUUGUACAUUAGCAUUUCAUUUGUGAUUCGGAUGAUGCAGCUCUAGGUGGAUUGACUAUGAAAGGCGCUGAAUAUCUUCAGGAAAAUGGGUUCCAUGAGAAGUGACAUCCUCCUCGAAUCAAAAGGAAGAAUGACUUGGGCAAUACCAAAUGUUGAGUUAUCAAGUAUUUCGAUACCCAUAUGCAUCAUCUGCUGUAAGUAUUCUCAGGAUGAUGGAGUGAGUGAUGGAAUAGGUUGCCAACUGUAGUUACUCCACUCAGCACAGAAUGGCUGCGGGGAAAUAUAAUCAGACAUGCCCAAAGAAGUCUGCUUAGGGUGAAACAAAUACCUUUGAGGUUUAAAUCAGGAAGGAGAGACUGUUUCUACAGGUGUCAUACAAAAAUCAAUACUGAGCCAAGGAUUAUUGGAUCCCAUAGAACCACGGAGACUUGGUAGUGAAAUUCUUCCAAAGAUGGUGUUCCUAGGUUUGGAAAUAUAAAUCCCAUGGGAAGUCAGCUGAAGACCAUUUUAUGCAUCACUCAUCCUGUUAGAGCCCUGUGCUGUUCUGUCUCUCUAUAAGACUGGCUGAAACCACCACGGUUGUUUACAAUUUAUGCUCUAACUUUGGAUCACCUAGUUAAUACUCUAACUCCGAUUAUUACCAAAGACAAUGUUCUAUAAAAGAUAUUGUCUAUUAGAAGGAUGCUUCUGCAUUAUUAAUAAAAUCACAGGGAAAAUGCAACAUUUUGGAUGUCACAUCUGAUAAGUGGGUGACUGAUCGUACCCGCCAGCUGGCUAAUGUCAUAAUUAACAAAGUUGCUACUACAUCUGCAAAGUUUAAUCGAAAAAUUUGCCAGUGAUAUGAUGGCCUUGUCACAGAGAUCACAAGGGACACGGAGUUGACUUUUGCUCAAGGUGGAACGACAGAGCUGUGUAGGCAAGAUGAGAAAUUGCGAACUUGUUCGGCCAAAGGAGGCUAAUAAUGAAGGGGCCGGGAAGGAGGCCAGUGCUACCAGGGUUAUCUCACAACCUCAGAUGCUGGAUAAGUCGACGGAGGCAGAAUCGCUUUGGGAUGACAUUCAGAAAGCCUGGAGUGAUUACUUGCAAGAGAAAAGCCUACCUAUUCUUUCCAAGGUGCAGGAAUAUUCCCCUGACCUGCUCAUCCAGUGGUCCAGUAAUGAAUUACUGGAGACCUGCCUUAGACAAAGAAUGCACUCGGAGCCCCAACACACCUAAAGCCAUGCUUUGAAGGAUCUGCCAAGCUCACUUUUAAUCAUGAGAAAGAAAUUACCCACACGGAGUCAGCAGAAAAUGAGAAAGUAGAGCUCGUGCUGUGAAUAAUUCCAGCAAGUGCCAAGGGGCUAGUUGAGGAAUGGCUUCAUGAGAUGUUAGUCUAAAACAGCACCUUGGAUCUAAGCAGCACCUUUGAGAAAGAAAAGACUGCUUCAAGAAUGUCUAGUUGCACCUCCUUUCCGUAUGUGGCCUAAAUGCCUAGGUUGGAUCAAUAGUUUAAUUUUUUUAUUGAACUGUUUAAUAUUGACUAUGGACUUACAUUCACUUUUACUGUUUUCUGUAUAUUUACUUUUGCUUGAAGUGUUUUAAUAUUGACUAUUUACCUCUGCUCAUUUUUAUUGAUUUUCUGUAUUUUUUCAAUGAAAAUUAUAAUAAAAAUUAUUUUUGUUA
RNAcentral lists this long non-coding RNA (1978 nucleotides) under Homo sapiens (human). The record is from RNAcentral. Lineage: Eukaryota; Metazoa; Chordata; Mammalia; Primates; Hominidae.